RNAcentral lists this long non-coding RNA (1677 nucleotides) under Olea europaea (common olive). RNAcentral's name for it is "long non-coding RNA (OEUR_LNC010283)". The record is from RNAcentral. Lineage: Eukaryota; Viridiplantae; Streptophyta; Magnoliopsida; Lamiales; Oleaceae.
CAUGUGUGAAUGUACAGUUAACCAUUGAAAUUGAUCAUGUAUAUUCAAUUAUAUGGUUUAAAUAUUCCAAUUUGAUAUGGAGCAUAAAUAGUGUGUUGGGAAAUGGGAAAAGAAAGAAAUGUGUUAUUUGAAAGAUCAUUUGAAAAAUGAUACAGGUGUUUUAGCAAUUAUUAUAAUUAGUUCUGAACUAUUUUGAAAUGCUUAAUGCUCUGUUACUAAUAUGUAUACUAUGGCUGACCAAUGGGACUGUUCAUGUUGAAUUGUGAUUUCGAGAAAAGGCGAAGCAAUUAUAUUACUGUCCCUGUUGAGAUACUAUGCUUCACAAAAACAUAAUUACAUUCUUCAUCUUCAUUCUUCAGUGUGCUUAUGUGGAAUUGUUAGAGCUAUAGUGUAAGAUGUAUAUAUGUGAGUGCUGUGAUAUUCUCUAACCUCUGGCCUAUGUUAUCUACAAUAUUUAAUUAAGCCUUUACUCCCAACAGUUGAUACUGGAGAAAUACAGAGGAUUACUUUUGUAUGACUGUUACUUUGGUAUAUGAUUGACAAAGCUUUUGAUAAAAGUAUUAAAGUUUGAUAAAAUGUGUAGCUGAAAAGUUGAUAAAAGUUGUCGAUCUCAUGAAAUCUGUUGUUAAAAUUAAAGUUUGAAAAGUUGAUAAAAUUUUAGCAAUGUUUUAUCACACUAAAGACUCUUAUGAAAUGCUUAGAUAUGUAAUGUAUAGGCUGACAACAUCUUGGCACAAUCAUUGAGGUGGAGUUGGGACCUAAAAGAUUGAAUGGAUCAGUAUAGACAUUAAACCCAUGAUCUAUAAAUAUUACUUUCCUGUGUAACAUUUGUUUAAGUGGUUUUGUAAAGGCAAAUGAAAACGCCUUUAUUUCUUUAGUUUUGCUUAAAAGGGUUUCUAGUUUUUGUGGAUUUGUGAAGCCAGAAGCAUCUGUUCGAUGCUACAAGGUCCUCUCACUCAACCUGGUUUAUUUGGAAGGUCUUACUACAUUUCUGAGUUCUAGAAACUGACACCAGUUGUUGGCCUAGAGCUGUUGAAAACCAGGAUUGACUUGAUUGUAGUACUAUUUCUUGAAAACUGGCACUGGCGUUUCUGGUUGCAUCAGAACUGGACGUCGAGACAGAUAUCUGGCGAUGGCAAGUAGAAGAACGAAGUUCCGUAUGAAUGUUAUUGAUCCUGAAUCCUAGGAUGUGUCAUAAUGAAUGUGUUGAUCUUGACUCUCAGGAUGUGUUGUCUAUGUUGCAGUUCUGAUAUGAACGGUUUUUUGUUAUCCCGAAGCUUAGGAAGUGUCAUGGGUAUGUUGGAGUUUCUAUAUUGAUAUUCGUUGCCUGAAUAUGCAUUUAAGUGACCAGUCAAAGAUAACGACUAAUUCGGUUUGAUUAGUGAUCCAACCAUGGUUCCCCUUCAAGCAUCUGUAGUACAUGUCUUGGAGCUUGCCAGUGAAUGUAUAAAGAAUUUAGAAGAAAUGGACUUAGAGCAUGUUUGAAGCUGUUUAUAUUAAAGAUAAGCGAUAGACGUAUGGUUUUUUGUAAUGUGAACUUACUUGCGUUCAUAAUGAGUCUACAAAAGUCCCACAUGUUGACAUUUGUGUUUCAGAAUGUAGAGGGUGCAAUUACAUGUUGAUAUUGGUGAUCCAGAAUUUGCACAUUACCGGUGGCAACUGGGGUUUAGAAUGGUG